RNAcentral lists this transfer RNA (74 nucleotides) under Enterococcus faecium. RNAcentral's name for it is "tRNA-Asn". It matches the Rfam family "tRNA". Rfam says of the family: Transfer RNA (tRNA) molecules are approximately 80 nucleotides in length. Their secondary structure includes four short double-helical elements and three loops (D, anti-codon, and T loops). Further hydrogen bonds mediate the characteristic L-shaped molecular structure. tRNAs have two regions of fundamental functional importance: the anti-codon, which is responsible for specific mRNA codon recognition, and the 3' end, to which the tRNAs corresponding amino acid is attached (by aminoacyl-tRNA synthetases). tRNAs cope with the degeneracy of the genetic code in two manners: having more than one tRNA (with a specific anti-codon) for a particular amino acid; and 'wobble' base-pairing, i.e. permitting non-standard base-pairing at the 3rd anti-codon position. Lineage: Bacteria; Bacillati; Bacillota; Bacilli; Lactobacillales; Enterococcaceae. The record is from RNAcentral.
UCCGGCAUAGCUCAGUUGGUAGUAGCGCAUGACUGUUAAUCAUGAUGUCGUAGGUUCGAGUCCUACUGACGGAG